UAUCUUUGUUUCGGUUUUGGUAACAAAGCUUAUGCUUUAGGAGAAAAGGGAAUACCGUGAAAUCCGGUAACAGUACCCGCUGCUGUGAUUCUCGAAGAACUUGAGUAACAAGCCACUGCAUUUAUUUGUGGGAAGGCACUUUAAGAGAGAGAUAAGUCAGAAGACCUGCCAGAACUACACAUUAUAG
This 187-nucleotide non-coding RNA is filed under the name Bacteroides luti. The record is from RNAcentral. Lineage: Bacteria; Pseudomonadati; Bacteroidota; Bacteroidia; Bacteroidales; Bacteroidaceae.